Molecule: long non-coding RNA, 1245 nt
Filed under: Vigna radiata
Lineage: Eukaryota; Viridiplantae; Streptophyta; Magnoliopsida; Fabales; Fabaceae
Description: long non-coding RNA (VRAD_LNC012248)
Source: RNAcentral
AAAUAAUAAAAUAUAAAAUUAAACACAAUAAAGAAUAAAAGAUUUAUUAAGAUUUUUUUUUUCUCUUCCUUUGACGUGAUAAAAAUGAAAAUUAAAUACAAAUUUAUUAUGUAUAUUUUUAUAUCUCAAAUGUUUUGUUUUAGGCUUAAAUUAGUUAUCAUUUUUUUUUCAUUUUUUUUCGUGGUUACCCAUUGUCUAUAUCUAUCUCAUCAUCUUCAAUAUCAUACCACCCAAAACCUUAUGUAUCCACCAAUAAAUCAUCGUGGUUUCCUUCUAUCGUCGCCAGAAAUUCGCAAUCUUUACACCUUCCAUCGUCGCCAGAAAUUCGCAAUCUUUGCACCUUCCAUCUUCGUCAACCACCACAUAACAACAAAGCCAUCGCAAGCCACUAUUGUUCAUCAUCAUCAAAUUUGUGAAUCACAACACCACUUAGAAUCAUAUCACCAUCCAUCAACAACGAACCAUGUCAGAACAACGCCACAAGCCCCUAUUGUUCGACCACCACAACAACUACCUGCAUCUCCUUCCUUGUCACCGUGAGUACCACUGCGAGCCACCAUCACCACCUCGCGAGCAGCCUACAAUAAAAUCACAACAUCACUUUAUCAACCACUGUGAACUACUACACCCACCAAAAAUCGUAAUCAAUCUUCAUUUAUGUCAUCAACAACCAUCACAUGUUCAAACUUGCAAAUUAGAAAGCCCUAAAUUGGAAAAGAAAUAAAAACUCAAAAAUUGCGAGCACCCAAAAUCACAAUCAACCUUCAAUUACACCAUCAACAACCAUCACAAAACCACCAUCACCUUUUCAAAUUAGCAAAUUAGAAAGCUCCAGAUUUGAAAAGAAAUCAAACCUAAAAUCGCGAAUCACAUCCUGAACUUGCAAUCCUAAAUCGCAAUGUCAGUUCGCACCACCACAAAUCUCCCUUUCCAAAACCGUCACGAAACCUAGUUGCCAUCACCACACACAAUCUCAUAUGUCAUCUUUUCCACUACGAGCAACUUGCGAAUCGAAAAAAGACCAGACCAGAAAAUCCCAAAUCUCGCGGCCUCUUGUGCCUCCAUCUUCGAACAACACAAUAAAACCCUAAUUUUUUUGGUGAAAGAUGAAAUUGCCAUGUGUCAAUCUCUCAAUGGACAAUUGUCGCACAUAUAAAAAAACUUACAUCUCAUUACUAACAUAAGCACUGUGUCAUGAUUUAAACAAAAGUGACUAAAUUGAACAAAAAUUGAAAUCACUUUCGA